This 408-nucleotide ribosomal RNA is filed under the name uncultured Cryptophyta. RNAcentral's name for it is "SSU rRNA". It matches the Rfam family "Eukaryotic small subunit ribosomal RNA", at positions 451 to 874 of the family's 1831-position model. The record is from RNAcentral. Lineage: Eukaryota; Cryptophyceae.
CCGACUCGGGGAGGUAGUGACAAUAAAUAACAAUACAGGGCUUACAGUCUUGUUAUUGGAAUGAGAACAAUUUAAAUCCCUUAACGAGGAUCAAUUAGAGGGCAAGUCUGGUGCCAGCAGCCGCGGUAAUUCCAGCUCUAAUAGCGUAUAUUAAAGUUGUUGCAGUUAAAAAGCUCGUAGUCGGAUGUCGGGCUCGGGCAAGCUGUCGGCCUCUGGUCGGACGGCGGGCUCGGGUCUUUUUGCCUGGGGCUCCGUCACUCUUAACUGAGGGGCGGUAGGUCGCAGGCCGUUUACUUUGAAAAAUUGAGUGUUCAAAGCAGGCCUACGCUUGAAUACAUUAGCAUGGAAUAAUGGAAUAGGACUUUGGUGCUAUUUUGUUGGUUUAUGGGACUGAAGUAAUGAUUAAUA